AUACCUCCUGUCCAAAUCCUACAGGGCUUGGACAUCCAGGUGCACUUCGUGCCCGGCCUUCUUCCUCUCUGGCUCUGUCUCAGUUUUAUUUCCAACCUCAAAAAGGAGAAAUCACUUACCCAUGGUCUUUUCCUACCUCAGAGGAGAGAGACCUGAGUAGAAAGUGCAAGUCAAACCCAGGGACAGGUAAGGAGGUUGGCCAAGCAGAGUCAGGAGUUGGAGUGGAGCUUAGAGAGUGUCAGACAGUUGGGGCCCUCAGGAGGUGGGGCCCUGGGGAGGCAGGACCCUAGGGAGGUGUGGCUUCUGGGGUUCCUAUCUUGCUAAGGCCAGGGCAAGGAAAGGAUGGGAGAUGAUGGAGGUGGCUUAGCUGGAAUCCUGGAGGAAAGCUGGAGGUGGGCAAUGGAAGACUAAUGGGAUCCUGUCUGGCGGGGAAGGACCACUAUGCUAUGGGCUUGAGCAGAACCUUGUCAGCAGUGAUGUGGGAAGAGCUCUGCAUCCACAAGAAGCUGGCAGACAAUGGCUCUCCCUGCAGAGCUGGCCCUGGGUCCUGGGGCUGCCCAGGCUGGGGGAGUCUUUGGCUCCAGCAAGAACCCAUGAAUUUCUGAAUUCAGGAAACUCCUCUUAGAGUUCUUUCCACUGGCAUCCCUUAUUCCCUUUGGCUCCUGAAAUGCCAUCGCCCACUCCAGCCCCCUUCCCUUUCCUAGUCCCCAACACUGGAGGUGCUGGCAUAGAAGGGUCGUGUGGCUUUUUGGUGUCAUACAAAAUGUUUUUUAAAUAGCUCUUCUUAAAAAUGUGACCCAUACAAUAAAUGACCUCACCUGAACCAGA
Lynx canadensis (Canada lynx) is the source of this 828-nucleotide long non-coding RNA. RefSeq lists it as uncharacterized. The record is from RefSeq and is a predicted model, not a curated record. NCBI's taxonomy places the organism in Eukaryota, Metazoa, Chordata, Mammalia, Carnivora, Felidae. The transcript has 2 exons.